This 701-nucleotide ribosomal RNA is filed under the name uncultured Escherichia sp. RNAcentral describes it as "bacterial SSU rRNA". It matches the Rfam family "Bacterial small subunit ribosomal RNA", at positions 28 to 718 of the family's 1533-position model. Lineage: Bacteria; Pseudomonadati; Pseudomonadota; Gammaproteobacteria; Enterobacterales; Enterobacteriaceae. The record is from RNAcentral.
AUUGAACGCUGGCGGCAGGCCUAACACAUGCAAGUCGAACGGUAACAGAAAGCAGCUUGCUGCUUUGCUGACGAGUGGCGGACGGGUGAGUAAUGUCUGGGAAACUGCCUGAUGGAGGGGGAUAACUACUGGAAACGGUAGCUAAUACCGCAUAACGUCGCAAGACCAAAGAGGGGGACCUUAGGGCCUCUUGCCAUCGGAUGUGCCCAGAUGGGAUUAGCUAGUAGGUGGGGUAACGGCUCACCUAGGCGACGAUCCCUAGCUGGUCUGAGAGGAUGACCAGCCACACUGGAACUGAGACACGGUCCAGACUCCUACGGGAGGCAGCAGUGGGGAAUAUUGCACAAUGGGCGCAAGCCUGAUGCAGCCAUGCCGCGUGUAUGAAGAAGGCCUUCGGGUUGUAAAGUACUUUCAGCGGGGAGGAAGGGAGUAAAGUUAAUACCUUUGCUCAUUGACGUUACCCGCAGAAGAAGCACCGGCUAACUCCGUGCCAGCAGCCGCGGUAAUACGGAGGGUGCAAGCGUUAAUCGGAAUUACUGGGCGUAAAGCGCACGCAGGCGGUCUGUUAAGUCAGAUGUGAAAUCCCCGGGCUCAACCUGGGAACUGCAUCUGAUACUGGCAGGCUUGAGUCUCGUAGAGGGGGGUAGAAUUCCAGGUGUAGCGGUGAAAUGCGUAGAGAUCUGGAGGAAUACCGGUGGCGA